RNAcentral lists this ribosomal RNA (120 nucleotides) under uncultured bacterium. RNAcentral describes it as "partial 16S ribosomal RNA". It matches the Rfam family "Bacterial small subunit ribosomal RNA", at positions 28 to 148 of the family's 1533-position model. The record is from RNAcentral.
GAUGAACGCUAGCGGCAGGCCUAAUACAUGCAAGUCGAACGGUAUCCCCCUUUCGGGGGGGAGAGAGUGGCGGAUGGGUGCGUAACGCGUAUGCAACCUGCCCCCUUCAGGGGAAUAGCU